GUAGCUUUCGGCGGUAUAUAUACUGAAAUUGGACGGAUACAUAGAAGAUCAGCAGGGCCCCUGCGCAAGAAUGACACAUAAAACCGUGAAGCGGUAGCUCAACAU
Molecule: small nuclear RNA, 105 nt
Organism: Schistocerca serialis cubense
Lineage: Eukaryota; Metazoa; Arthropoda; Insecta; Orthoptera; Acrididae
Source: RefSeq, a predicted model, not a curated record